RNAcentral lists this ribosomal RNA (587 nucleotides) under Mastigocladium blochii. Its description in RNAcentral is "eukaryotic LSU rRNA". It matches the Rfam family "Eukaryotic large subunit ribosomal RNA", at positions 42 to 658 of the family's 3401-position model. Lineage: Eukaryota; Fungi; Ascomycota; Sordariomycetes; Hypocreales; Bionectriaceae. The record is from RNAcentral.
AAUCAUAAGCGGAGGAAAAGAAACCAACAGGGAUUGCCUCAGUAACGGCGAGUGAAGCGGCAACAGCUCAAAUUUGAAAUCUGGCCCUAGGCCCGAGUUGUAAUUUGCAGAGGAUGUUUCUGGCGAGGUGCUUUCCGAGUUCCCUGGAACGGGACGCCAUAGAGGGUGAGAGCCCCGUACGGUUAGUCGCUAAGCCUCUGUGAAACUCCUUCGACGAGUCGAGUAGUUUGGGAAUGCUGCUCUAAAUGGGAGGUAUACGUCUUCUAAAGCUAAAUACCGGCCAGAGACCGAUAGCGCACAAGUAGAGUGAUCGAAAGAUGAAAAGCACUUUGAAAAGAGGGUUAAAUAGUACGUGAAAUUGUUGAAAGGGAAGCGCUUAUGACCAGACUUGGACCGGUUGAUCAUCCAUCGUUCUCGGUGGUGCACUCUGCCGGUUCAGGCCAGCAUCAGUUUGUCCCGGGGGAUAAAGGCUUUGGGAAUGUGGCUCCUCCGGGAGUGUUAUAGCCCACUGUGUAAUACCCUGGGAUAGACUGAGUUCGCGCUCCGCAAGGAUGCUGGCGUAAUGGUCAUCAGUGACCCGUCUUGAA